This 14888-nucleotide long non-coding RNA is filed under the name Lactuca sativa (garden lettuce). RNAcentral's name for it is "long non-coding RNA (LSAT_LNC003098)". Lineage: Eukaryota; Viridiplantae; Streptophyta; Magnoliopsida; Asterales; Asteraceae. The record is from RNAcentral.
AAGAGUUUGGAUUUGUACGAAGCGAAGACGAAUCUUGUGUAUAUGUCAAAGCCAGUGGGAGUAUAGUAAGCUUCCUCGUUCUAUAUGUCGAUGACAUAUUACUCAUAGGAAACGACAUCCCGACUCUGCAGGAGGUUAAGUCCUGGCUCGGGAAGUGCUUCGCUAUGAAGGACCUCGGAGAGGCUUCUUACAUUUUGGGAAUAAGGAUAGUAAGAGAAAGAAGUAAGAGACUAAUUGGACUUAGUCAGAAUACUUACUUAGAGAAGGUACUAAAACGUUUUAGUAUGGAAAACUCAAAGAAGGGAGAACUACCGAUACAAAGUAAUGCCAAAUUGAGUAAGACUCAAAGUCCGAGUACCGAAGCUGAGAUAGCAGAAAUGAGCCGAGUACCAUACGCUUCCGCAGUUGGCUCAAUCAUGUACGCUAUGACUUGUACUCGCCCUGAUGUAGCCUUCGCUUUGAGCAUGGUUAGCAGAUAUCAAGGGAAUCCUGGCAAAGCACAUUGGAUUGCGGUGAAGAAUAUCCUUAAGUACCUUCGGAGGACGAAGGAAUGGUUCUUAGUCCUCGGAGGGAGUGAUGACUUGAAGGUGCGAGGGUAUAGUGACGCCAGUUUUCAGACCGACAGGGACAACUACCGUUCGCAGUCGGGCUGGGUCUUUACCCUAAAUGGAGGAGCAGUGACAUGGAAGAGUUCCAAGCAGGAAACCGUAGCUGAUUCAACGUGCGAAUCAGAGUACAUUGCAGCGAGCGAAGCGUCGAAGGAGGCAAUAUGGCUAAAGAACUUCAUCGGUGAUCUUGGAGUCGUACCUGCCAUAAAGGAGCCAAUGGAGAUUUUCUGUGAUAACGAAGGUGCGGUUGCCUUAACCAAGGAACCGAGGGAUCAUGGUAGAUCAAGACAUAUCGACAGAAAGUAUCACUUCAUUAGACAUCGUGUAGAAGAAGGACAACUCGUAGUGAAGAGGAUAUCAUCAGAAGAUAACCCAGCAGAUCCGCUUACGAAGGGACUGAGUAGGGUUAAGCACUUGCAGCAUGCUAGGAGUAUUGGGCUGAAGGAUGAUAUUAGCAUAGAUUAGAUAGUAUUAGAAACGUGUAAUAGAUAAAUGUAAUUGACAUUUGAUGAUUAAAUAAAGGAGUUUUAUUUAUGAGUAAUGUUACUAUCUUAUGUUAAUUGUUUAGCUAUUGUUUCACUUUGCAUGUUUUGACUUCCAGAAUAAUUGAGUUUAUUAGGAAUAAUCGAAUUAUUCAAAUGGUCCACAAUCGUUCAUAUGUUGGGAGUAGAUAUGAAAGAAGAUUGUCAUGAAUUGGUGUGUAGAAUGUCUAAAUGGUGUUAGACAUAGCAAAGGAUUGCUGCAACGUUCAUGAGUGCUUAUGAACUAGUUUUGAGCAUUGGAAUAAACCCGCGCUUGCUGGAAUCACCUUAUGGAAUACGAUAUAAAAGGUGAUCGCAAGACGAUAAUAUCAUAUAGUCUUAAAACCUAGAUAUAUGGUUUAUUAUUUGUUAAUUGAUUGUACAUUGAUAAUACGAAAACGCAUCAGUAACUUGGUGUUAUAAAACGUAUUGUUGUGUAUAGUUGGUUAAUGAAUAAGUAAAUGCAUAUAAGUCGAAGUUUAUCUGUAACUUUUAUCUAAGAAGGUAAAAGCGAUAUCUCGGCCGCUCGAUGAUUUGAUUUGACUUAUGUGCCGGGCCCGGUCAGAACUGAAUUGAUGUGUUCGAUUAAGUUCUAUGUCAAAUAAAUCAGAGAUCGAGAAACCUAAAUGCUUGACUAACCAUUCCAUAGGAUUGUCAGCAUGAUAUCUAACAGAGGACUGUACGUUCCCUUAUCUAAAGGACAAGAUUGAUUAGAUCAGAGUUGACAGCGUCUUUGAGAGCUACGAUUGCAAACCGAAUUGUACUUGUAUAGUUACUAGACUUAUCCAAGUGGGAGACUGUUGGAAUAGUGUCUAAGGCUGUAACUAUAUCCGGUUGUGCAUGGUCCUUUUGGGUUGCCUUCACCAUAGCAACUUGAUAGGAUGAUUUAUUAAGAGAGAAUAAAUAUUAUUAAUAUAUUAUGGGAAUAAUAUAAUGAAUAAUAUAUUUGUUAUUUGAUUAAUAUAAGUCAUAGAAUUAAUUAGAAUUAAUUUGGUGACUUAAAGAGAUUAAUUAAAUAAAGGGGUAUAAACUGUCAAUUGUUUGAUAGUUAAGCUUUAAACUGUAAAUCCAUUUGGAUAUACUAUGGACGAAUUCUAAGAGGAUUAGGAUAGCUAAAAUCGUCCAUUAGAGUUAUCUAGGAAUGGAUUUGGAUAGCCUUAAGAGAAGAUUAUCUGAUAGGGACUUAUCUGUAAUCCUUAAGGAGUCUACAAGUAUAAAUAGACCCCAUGGCUGAUGGAAUUCGACACUUGACCUAAAGUAAGGAACCUCUGGUCGAAAUUCCUCCCCUCUCCUCUCUCCCAAAUCAUCCUCCUUGCUUUGGUGUUUGUAAGCCAUUAGAGGAGUGACAUUUGUGACUCUAGAAGCUCCAAGACCUCAAGAUCAACAAGGAACUCAAAGGUAUGAUUCUAGAUCUGUUUUAAUGUUCUUGUUUAACCUAAUUAGUAAUUAGAAGUCUUGGAUUCAAAGCAUGUUUAUUAGAAAGCCUAGAUCCAAGCAUUAGGGUUUUGCAUGCGCACAUAGGAAAGUUCUUAUGGCUAAAACCCAUCAGUGGUAUCAGAGCCUAGCUUGGUUUUCUGUAAAUUGUUGCUUGAUUAACUGAAACAAACCUGCAAAAUUCGAAUUUUUGGUUUCUGAGUCAUGGACUCGGCGAGUCUCAAAGUGGACUCGGCGAGUAGGCCUGACUCGGCGAGUCCAUUUGUGCACUCGGCGAGUCCAGGCGUCAGGAAUGGCCAGAUUCGGGAUUUCUUUGUGUUUAUCUUAUCUUAACUUACCAUAAACUAAUUAGAUCAACAUUAAUUCGUUUUUCUGAUAAAUAUAACUAUUAUCUUGAUCUAGUUAAAGGUAAUUAUCAACUAAUUAAAUAUUUAAUUUCCUUAUAUGAUAAUUAAUUAAUUAUUUUGAUUAUUUUGGUAAUUAUCUUUAAAAGAAAUCUUGAAUAAAUCAAAUAUAGAUAAUUAGGAUAUUAAUUGUUAAUUGGAAUUAUUUGUUAUUUGAUCCUCCAUGUUUUAAAUGUUUAAAACCUACCCUCAUGUUUUGAAAUUUACUUUUGUGAUUAAAAGUUUUAAUUUAGACAACUUAAAUUUCAAACCCUAGAUUUUAAAAGUUUUAAAAUACAACCCUAUACUAAUAUGAUAUUACUAGAAUAAUAUAUAUAUGUAUAACUAAAUGCUAGUCUUACCGUUAGUAGGCCUCAUUCACGAAGCCGAUCUAUAAGGUGGGUAUAAGGUUGCGGCCUAUAAAAUGGCGCUUAAUGGGUGUACACUCACACCCACCGCUUGCUUGAUUGGUGGAGGGUCGUUAGCCGAACGGGUAGGAUAGGGCAACCUCAUCCUCUCAUUAAAAGUAUAAUAAGAAAUAUAAAGUAACUACACAUUUUUUUAAAAUUUCCCAAUCCUAGUUACUUUAGGAAAAGUGAAUUGAUGCAAUCCCAUGAAAUUACACUUUGCACCUUGCUAAGAUGUUAGUGGAGCGUGUGUGGUUUACCGGCACACUAAUUGGUUCUAAGCGAAGGUGGCAAAGGGUGAUUCAUUGUUUAUCAUAGUUCGAUGGAGCGUGUGUGGUUUACCGGCACAUCGAAUAGGUGAUCGUUACAAUGAAGGCACCAUGUGAAUUUGCAUGGUAAUUCACACCCGCUUUGUGAUCCUCGGCAUCCCAGUCACAAACAAGAGGGGCAUAUCGAGAUUUAAACAUGCCAUUGAAUAGUUUCAAUGAAUCUCAUCCGAACCUAGGAAUUCUCAAAAACACUUAGGACUAAUAGUUUAAGUUUUGUGAUGGAGAAUUAGUGAAUCGUCAUUCACUUACCUUCAAUUUAUUUGCAUGUUAGAUUACGGCAUCCCUUUUCUAGUAUGUAAAUGUUAUUGUUGGAUCCUAGCCCUAAUUUUCUUAUUGGGUGAUAAUUAGGGAUUCUUAUUCUAAUCUAUCUUUGUCCUUUUCUAAUUGUAGAUGUCGAACGCAAACAACGCUGCUGCUAGUUCUUUCACGUUGAUGAGCCUUUGCCAAAAGGUCACCUUCGAUGGAACGAACUUUAGCGAAUGGAUAAGAUACAUUCGCACCAUUGCUCGCUAUGAGGAUAAGGAGUAUGUCCUCGAUGAGAAGCUCGAGAAAAUCAACCCCGAAAUUGCUACUCCCGCCGAAAUCACCGCCUUUGAAACUCAUGAGCGAGAUGCAACGAAGGUACAUUGCAUCAUGAUCGCCACCAUGAACUCCGAAUUCCAAAAGUCCUACGAGGACAUGUACCCGUACGAGAUGCAUCAAGACUUAUUGGAGAGGUACCACCAAAACGCGAGACAAGAGAGGUACGAGAUUUUCACUAACAUGAUUUCCGCGAAGAUGGGUCAUGGAGAAUCUCUUACCGUGCACUUGCAAAAGAUGCAAAGGUAUGUUGACCGCCUCCGCAAGUUAAAUGUUGACUUCGGUGAAGACUUGGCGAUCGACAUGGUGCUUCACUCUUUGCCUCCGAUGUACAACCAAUUUAGGAUGACCUACCACAUGAACAAAGAAGAGGUCACCCUAAGCAAGCUCCAAGGUCUCUUGAGGGUUGCUGAGAGCAACUUCAAAGACAAGUCUGUUGCACCUACUCCCAAUCCGCCCGCUGCUCCUGUCUUGGCUAUUGGACAAGGGAAGGGAAAGAAGAGGAAAGCUUCAUCGAAGAACUAUCGCAAGGUGAAAGCCCGAGAUGGUGCCUCUUCUAGUGGGACCAAAGUUGAUCCCGCCAAGCCCUGCUCUAACCCGAAGGAGGCAGAGUGCCACCACUGCCACAAGAUAGGACAUUGGAAGAGAAGCUGCCCGGAUUACCUGCAAGCAAUCAAAGAAGGAAAGAUCAAGCCAUCUUUCGCAGGUAUAUAUACAAUCAAAUCUAACGAUUCUAAUCAUGCUAUUUCUUGGGUUCUUGAUACCGGUUGUGGUUAUCACAUUUGUUCUAAUGUGCAGGGACUAAGAAGAAGUAGGGAUGUGGAGCAAGGAAGGAUCAAUCUAAUCAUGGGGAACAGAAGAUCGUCGCCUGUGACCAAGAUUGGAGUGUAUUCCUUAGUGCUUAGGAAUAGUUUAGUUUUAGAUUUGAACAAUUGUUGCUAUUCGCCAGAAAUGGCUAGAAACAUCAUUUCAUUUCAUGGUUUAUAUAGACAAGGAUUUAGAUUUUCUUUUAAUAAUGAGAAUGGUUCUAUUUUGGCUUAUCUAAAUGGUGUCUUUUACUUUGAAGCUAUACCAUGUAAUGGAAUAUAUGAAACCGUUAUGAUUGUUGAUAACUUAGGAAAUGAUGUUUUGAAUAUUGAUUCUUCCACUAGUAUGGAUAAAGCAUCCUUGUGGCAUUGUCGUCUUGGACAUGUCAACAAGAAACGCAUAGCCCAACUCCAAAAGGAUGGAGUGUUGGAGUCAUUCGACCUUAGGGAAGAUGACACAUGCGAGUCUUGUUUACUUGGAAAGAUGACUAAGUCACCCUUCACGAGUACAUGUGAAAGGGGCGAGGGUCUAUUGGACCUAAUACAUACCGAUGUAUGUGGACCGUUUAGAUCAACCACGAAGGAUGGGAACCGCUUCUAUGUGACUUUUACCGAUGACUAUAGUAGAUAUGGGUAUAUCUACUUAAUCAAGCAAAAGUCAGAAACCUUUGAAAAGUUCAAAGAGUUCAAGAAUGAAGUGGAGAAUCAAUUGGGCAGGAAAAUCAAGAUGCUUCGAUCCGAUCGAGGAGGAGAGUACCUAAGUCUUGAAUUCCACGAUUAUCUCAAGGAGUGUGGAAUAGUUUCACAAUUGACGCCUCCUAGGACACCGCAGUUGAAUGGUGUGGCAGAAAGGCGUAAUCGAACCUUAUUGGAUAUGGUUCGCUCUAUGAUGAGUCGUGCUUCACUACCUAUCUCUUUUUGGGGGUAUGCCUUAGAGACUGCCGCCCAUAUCCUUAACCGAGUUCCUACUAAGAAGGUUGCCAAAACACCUCACAAGAUGUGGACAGGGAAGGCUCCCUCGUUAGCACAUAUCAAGGUUUGGGGUUGCGAGGCUUUCAUAAGACGAGAUACUCACGACAAGCUCGAACCUCGUAGUGAGCGAUGUAUUUUCAUCGGCUACCCGCAGAAAUCCUUUGGAUAUCUCUUCUAUAGACCUAAGGACAAUGUUGUCUUUGUUGCGAGGAGAGGAUUUUUCCGAGAGCGAGAACUCAUAAGCCAAGGAGAUAGUGGGAGGCAAAUCGAGCUUGAAGAGUGUAGUGGUGUUGAUUAUGAUGGUAUGUGCGGAAUUAGAAAAUAUCUAGUGAUUCAUCAUACAAAAUCAAGAACACAAGGAGUAAAUAAAUCUUUGUAAGCUCUUAUUAGAUCAAGAAAGAUUAUACAAAUGGGUUUGUAUACAAUUUCUCUCUCUAGUCUAACAUUCCAAAUUGUUCACUUACAUAAUGGGAGCCACUCACUUCCUAUUUAUAGGAAAGACUCAACCCAUUUACACAUAUAAAGAGGAAAGCCUAAACACUACAUCCAAGCGUGACUUUGCACCCUAACAUUCUCCUCCUCAAAGUUCGGAUUGGAUGUCCAGCUUCAAUCUCCAACGAGCUAGCGCGAUUAAGACCAAACUCCCCCUCGAAGUAACACCGGUCUUCAAAUCCGCAAAUGAAUAUUCGACACACCCGAGAAGCUUUGAAUACCCAUCAUUUUCUCCCCCUUUUUAUAAUCAAAAAUGAUUAUAAAACCCACUAAGGAUGAGAAGCGCCCGAGGAAUAGUCUUCACGAUACUCCCCCUUGAUGUGUACCAAAAAUGAAUCUCCAAAAAUCUUGCACAGAAAAACAAUCACGAAAAAGCCACAAAAAAUUUCCAAUUUAUGAAAAUUAUUGACUUUUUGAGUGAAAGUUGCAAGAUUUUUCAAAAUCCGGGGUAGAAAUUGUCACUUUCUGAAACUUGCAGGGACCCGUUGCGCCAAAAACAGUCAAAUAUGCGAAACUCUAGCCCAUUUGCGAAACCGGGCAUAAAGCGUAAAUUCGCACAAACUGCAGGGACCAGAACUAAAAAUUCUGCAAUCUCUCAGCUUAUAUUUCCAAUUUGCGAAGUUAGGUAUAAACUGUCAUUUCGUGAAAAGAUCAGGGGUGCAAACUGAAAUUCAUUGUGUUCUUCCCCAAAUCACCAUAUGCAGUAAAAGACUUCGCGUUUUCAUUCAUAUUUCUUCGCAUCUUGUAUCCAUCUAAACAAAUGCGAACUGUUAAUCACCUUCGCAUUUUAAUCCAAUUAAUCAAAUGCGAAAUUAACUGAGAAACCCAGAUGUGAACCCGUCUUUGAGUCACUCAUAUGCAAACUUAGUUUUGAUUCCAAAAUUGAACAAAUCUCACUCUCAGAUGCGAACCCGAUUUUAGUCUCUAUAACCAAAUGCGAAGUGAGUUUGACCAUCAACCACAUAGUUGUCUUCAUUCGCAUUUCAUUAACAGUCCACGGUUCGUUCAUCAAAAAAAACCUCCAAGUCUAAACAAGAUCAAUAUGCGAACACAAAAUUGAGACCCAAAUGCGAUUCCAACAGAACUCCAAAUCUUCACAGGUCUUCACACCAUAAUUAUAGAUGCGAAUGAAGAACUCGAUGCAAAAUCAAAAAUCGACAUCACUUCUUAUUUGCGAAAUCUAUACCACCGAUACCAAAAUCAAUUCUAUUUACAAAAUCCAAGUCAUCGAUCAUUCACAGAUGAGACCCAGACUAACCAUCCAGGUUGCCGACUUUGCUUUUAUUCUUCAAAUUCAUCAAUUUCGACUGCCUUCAUCUUCAAUCACUUCAUCAUUUGAACAUUGAAAUCAAAUCCCAGCACAAUUUGUUCAAGAAACAAAUAUGAACGAACACAGUGUUCGUUCAUGAUGAACAUACACCCAUUUACUUCCAAAUUCGAAAUUAAUCCCAAAUUAAGCUAGAUUUCGACUCUAACAGCCUCAAAACAACUUGUAACUAUCAAUAUCAUCAUACGAUUUCACCGAUUCAUCAUUCCAAUUCGUCUCCAGGAAUUCGACUAUCAAUUUGAGCACGACACGUCGAAUCUGAUUUCGAUCGUCAAAUGUCCCAAGCAUAUGUUCAAUGAGUUUGACUCCAAGAAGUCAACUCUAAAAUCAAAAUCGAUAUUAACGUCAAGUAAAAUCAUUCAACUCUAGUACUGAUUUCAUUCAACAAAACGAAUUUCAGAAUGCGAAUACUAACUCCAAUCAAAGACAAUUUCAAUCAAUGCGAAUUCAUUCUUCCGACGCCGAUUGUUCAAGACAAACCAGGCUUUGAUAUUGACAACCGAUUUCAGAUGAGUAAUCUCCAAAUUUGACUCUUGACUUUGUUGAAUCAAAAUCGGAAAUCCGAGAAUAUGAGAUAUCGAUAUAAAGAUAAUGAACAAUGAAGUGAUAUCAAGUUGGGCUUACUGGAUUGACAGUUUGAACUAUCAAUAUUUGGGCUCAAGAUGAACAGUAAUGGACAUUUGAUUUUUGAAAAAUGAUUUCAAUCUUGUUGGAUCAGAUGAACAUUAACGAUUUCGAACAAUUGGGAUAAAAAAAAUAUUGAUUUUGAAAUUAAUAGAAGUUGUGAGAAUAUGAUUUUGAUUUUUGGAAUUUUGAUCUUAACAAGAAUAAUUGGAUCAACAAUGAGGUUAUAACGGAUUAGAUCCAAUGAGGCCAAUCGAUCAAAAAUGAAAAACGAAAAAUACGAAUUGAAAUCAUGGACGUUUUGGAAUCCAUUUGAGAAUUUGAGAUACCUUUUUGAUGAAUCGAGUUCUAUUUUCAACGAACGAAUCAAAUUUGGAAGAUCUUGGUUCUUUUGUCGGAAUGAGAAAAUCUCCAAAUCGAACAUUGUACCACCCACCAUGCGAGAUGUACAACUCGUUCUUCGUGUUCUUCAUCAAACCAAGAACAUCUUCAAAAGAACCACCAACACAUUUGGGUUUUGACUUCAAAUUCAAUGCAACCUUUGGAGAUUGUUGCUUUGGAACCCAAAUUUGCUUCAUGGAUUUUGGCUUCACAACAUUUGAAGAUUUUUGUGAGUAAACCCGCUUGUUUUUACGAUUGAUCUUCUUCUUCUUUUUCUUUCUCAUUUUUUUGCUUCUUAAAGACUUGAUUUCAUGAACAAACCCACUUUCAACAACAUGAACAUUUUUAGUUUGAAUCAAAUCUUUUGGAGUUUGAUAUUUGUGAAUUUCUUGAACCACCGGCUUCCGAUAAGGAAUCAUUCCUUCAAACGAAUCACAAGAACACAAAAUAUCAUCAGUUUGAACUCCAAUUGAGCAAAAAACUUUUUCAUCUUGAGAAUCAACUUGAACUCCUUUUUCUUGAACAUCAAGAACAUCACAUUGAACUCCNUAAGAACAUCUUCAACAAACAUAAGAGCUUGAAGAUCACUUGGGUUUUCAACAAGAGAAAUGAAAUACUCAUCAAACAAUUCUUUUUCCUUUUUUCCUUUUUAUAUCUCUCAUUCUUCAAGUUAUGGCAAACUUUAGUCAAGCAUUCAAUCUUUGAAAGUGGUUGAAAAAUCAAUCCUCCAUGAUCAUCCUUCAAACCUCCAUAAGAAAUCAAAGUAUCCCAUGAAAUCAUUAAGCCUUUCAAUAUUAAUCCAAUGAAUUGUUCUAAACCGAUCUUGUAUUUGACAUAUUUAACGAUCACAAUCCAAGAAGCAUGCUCCAAGUAAACCGUCAUUUUUGAUCACUAGAAUUUGAAGAUUUCUAGAGACAGAAAGUGAUUAUAAAUGGGUUUUCUAGAAAGAGAAAGUGAUACAUGUUGGGGUUGCAAAGUUAUUCAUUCAUGACUUUGUAAAUGUUUGACUUUUGUAAAACCCACUUGCAUGUGGUGCUUUAGCCUUUAGACCCAUUUACAUGUUAGAGUGAGAGAGAGAGACAUGUAAACACCUCUAUAAAUAGUGGGUUCAUACCACUUGUAGAGGUGUGCUUGAGAGAUGUAAAAGUGAGUGUGUAAGUGUGUGUUAAUUAUGUAGUGUAGAUCUAGAUCCUUUUUGUGUAACACCAUAUACAUUCAAUAUAACUCUUAAACACCCAAAUCACCAUGUUCAAUUGUGCAAGCUUUAAUUCCGCAUGUCAAACCAUGUUCCUUGUCACAACAAUUGGUAUCAGAGCUUGGUUUUCACGAUAAACGUGCCUUUUGAAGAACGAUUCUCGGUUUGGCAAUUUUUGUCACAAUUUGAAGCAAUUUUUGGUGAGUCUCUCUCUAUGAUCUCUCUUCAUUUUGUUGAAAUCGUGCGUAAUGUUUUUGAUUUUUGAUCGUUUUGAUUCAUUGGAUCUAAUUCGUUUCAAACCUCAUUGUUGAUCCAAUCAAUUUUUGUUAAGAUCAAAGCCAACCAAAAACAAAAUCAAGUUUACUAUUAAUCUAGAUAUUUCAAGCCCAAAGAUAAAUUCAAAAGAAAAUCAAUUUCGUAUAUUCAAAGAUCCAAUCCAAUCGUUGUUACUGUUCAUCAAUGGAGCCCAAAAUGUCGUAUGGUUACUGUUCUUCAUUCCAAUUUGAGUCCAAUUAAUUUUUCCGAUUAGAUGAGCCCAAGCAUUAUUACAUUUGAUUAACUCAUAUAUCACAUCUUCCGAUUAUUCUCGCAUUCAGUUUAUUUAAGAAUUCAAUCGAAAUUUCAAGAUCCUGUUUAAAUCAAUUGGGAACAUUAACUGUGUUGUUCUUCAUCGUAUGCAUAAAAGUGUUGUACCUUCAAGGUUUUCUUUGAUAUCGGUUGAUGAUUGAAUCGAUUUUCAUAUUUCACGUCUUUCAUCAUAAUCAGUGUUCUUGAGUUCCAAUUUCACUUCUUUGUUUCUUAAAAUCGAUUAGUAAUCUUUGGUUAUUAUAACUUGUGAAUCGAUUUUCUUUAAUUCCGUUGAUUCCUGAAAUCGAUAAUGAUCAAGUUAGUGUGAAAAAUUUCGAAAUUGGUUCGUUGAUUUUGAUGAAAUUUUUGAUCGAGAACAGUUGAAGAUGGUGAAUAAUAGUUGAAAAACACAUUUUGAUCUGAAAUCGGAACUCAAAAUCAUCGAUUUUGUGUUUUUAGAUCGUUGACUCUAAAAGUUAAACACAACUUCUAUGGGUUAAUUCAUGGAAUUGAAAGGAGAAAUAGAUGGAUUUGAGUUCAAUAUGUGAUUUGAAAGAAGAAAUCGAGUUUAAUUUGGAGAUUAAUUGGUUGGAUUUGUGAUUAUGUUGAUGAAUGAUGGAAGGAAAUGCACCAAGAAUGAACAGAUGAUAUCGUUUGGAAUUUAGAUUUUGAAUAGAUUCGCAUUUGGUGAAACUUGCGAAUUCGUUUUUGAUUUUGAGUGUGUUUACUUAAAACUGGAAUUGAAAGUCGAUUGUUUUGAGGUCAUUGUUUGGGUUCGUGUUUGAAAAGCUAAGUAACUGGAAUCGAUUAUUUUGAGUUCGUUGAUCGAUGGUUUUGAUUAUUUGGAAUGGUUGUUGAUUUUGGGAUUCCUGUAAUGAGAAGAAUGAAGAACGAUUGUUCGCAUUAUGAUUGGAGUCGAUGAUUCACUAUUGAAUGGAUGGUUGAGGGAUGAUUCGUGAAGAAAAAUGCGAAGUAAAGAUGGAUCUGUGAUAAUUUUGGAAUGAACUUGGAAGUAAGACAAGAUGAUUCGCAUUUUGUUAUAAAAUGGUGAAUUUGCAUUUGUGAUCAAAGACAGUUCGCAUUUGGUUACAGAGAACAAAAUUUUGGUUCGCAUUUUGGAAUCAAAUUCGCAUUUGUGUAACCACACUGUGUAAGGAAUGUUUAAUUCGCAAUUUGGUGUUUUGUUUUGGAAUCAAAAUGCGAAUUUAUUUCAUUAUGAUUCGCAUUUUGGUGAUUGAAACAUGCGAAGGGAUGCGAAGCGUAUUUGAAUGAAAAUGCGAAGCCUGUUAUUACCAGUUCAAUGAAGAAGAAAGGCAAGAGUUUCGCAUUUGGUCCCUGCUCUUUUCAAGAAAUAACAAAAGCUGACCAACUUCGCAAAUUUGAAGCACAUGCAGAAAUUGUCAAAACGAAUGCCUGUAGUUUCGCAUUUUUGACAGUUUGUACCCAACUUCGCAAAUGGGGUCAUAAAAUGCUGAAAUUGCAGAAUUUUCAAAUAUGGUCCCUGUAGUUUGUGCAAAUUGACGCUUUCUACCCAGCUUUGGAAAAGGGGGAGAGUUUUGCAUAUUUUGUUGUUUUUGGCGCAACGGGUCACUGCAGAAUUUUGAAAUUGACGAUUUCUACCCAUUUUUGAGAAAUUUUGUCAAAGGCGAUCCGUGAACGGCAAUAAAAAUUCAAUAUUUUUUGGAUUUUCCAAUUGAAGCAAAAUGUUUAUGCCACAUGUUAAGGGGGAGUUUUGGCAUGAAAAAUUCCGAAUAGAGCACGUUGUUUUUCCAUGGAGUUUUAUAAUCAAAUUUUGAUUAUAAAAAGGGGGAGAAGUUUUAUAUGGAAAUUCGAACUUGAAUUUUUCAUAUUACGCGAAUUUGAAGACCGAAGUGAUCUUGAAGUUUUGAAGAUUACGAGAUGAUGCAAUUGGAAGUUCGGAAGUGAUGUAUUCGAAAUGGGUUUGGUAUUAUUGAAGAUUUUUGGGGUGUGUUUUUAUGCGCAACUUUUGGGUGAUUAUUUGGAAUUUAUCAUUCGUUGGUGCUCGGAUUGUAUGGUCUCACAUCCUAGAGCCCAAAUUGAAGAGUCAUGGAAGAAUUGAAGAUUGAAGUUCGUUUCGACAUGUGUCACCUUUGAGGCUCGAACCGCGUAGUGCUUGAUUUUGGAAGAUUUGAAGUGGGUCAUUCAUUCCUAACUUUGAGGGGGAGAAUGUUGGGGUUGCAAAGUUAUUCAUUCAUGACUUUGUAAAUGUUUGACUUUUGUAAAACCCACUUGCAUGUGGUGCUUUAGCCUUUAGACCCAUUUACAUGUUAGAGUGAGAGAGAGACAUGUAAACACCUCUAUAAAUAGUGGGUUCAUACCACUUAUAGAGGUGUGCUUGAGAGAUGUAAAAGUGAGUGUGUAAGUGUGUGUUAAUUAUGUAGUCUAGAUCUAGAUCCUUUUUGUGUAACACCAUAUACAUUCAAUAUAUCUCUUAAGCACCCAAAUCACCAUGUUCAAUUGUGCAAGCUUUAAUUCCGCAUGUCAAACCAUGUUCUUUGUCACAACAAUACAAACAAGUAUUCUAGAGAGAGAAAGUCGAAUUAUGGAUCAAAUCAAGGAAAAAUUCGACUUAUAGAACACAAAAACACUCUCUAAACACGAAGAUCAAUGAACAAUAAGAAUCACCAAAUCAAAAUAGCCAUCAAGGAUCAAUUCUUGAUGAAAAUCUAGAACACCCGCUCUGAUACCAAUUGUAGUGGUGUUGAUUAUGAUGGCAUGUGCGGAAUUAGAAAAGAUCUAGUGAUUCAUCAUACAAAAUCAAGAACACAAAGAGUAAAUAAAAUUUUGUAAGCUCUUAUUUGAUCUAGAAAGAUUAUACAAAUGGGUUUGUAUAUAAUUUCUCUCUCUAGUCUAACACUCAAAAUGGUUCACUUACAUAAUGGGAGUCACUCACUUCGUAUUUAUAGGAAAGACUCAACCCAUUUACACAUAUAAAGAGGAAAGCCUAAAAACUACAUCCAAGCAUGACUUUGCACCCUAACAAAGAGAUUCAAGAGUCGAUUGAUGAAGGAACCUCUACCUCUGGCACUCAACCCGAGGAGGAAACUCCGGUUGAACCAAUUGACGAGUCCUUACCUCUUAGACGUUCCGAAAGAGUUAGAGUUCAGCCCUAGUUUUAUGGUUUUCAUAUUACUACCGAAGGGGACACGUAUAUUAGUGAUGGUACACUAAUAAAUCUAGAUGAACCUAAUAGCUAUAAGGAAGCCAUGGCAGGCCCGGAGUCUGCAAAAUGGAAAGAGGCAAUGGACAGCGAGAUCCAAUCCAUGUAUGAUAACCAAGUUUGGAAUUUGGUUGAUUAUGUGCCCGGACGUAAGACCGUUGGGUGCAAAUGGAUCUUCAAGAAGAAGACCAACAUGGAUGGAAACAUACACGCAUAUAAGGUGUGAUUGGUUGCAAAGGGCUUUACUCAAACUCCUGUAGUUAACUAUGAUGAGACCUUCUCGCCAGUUGCGAAGAUAAAAUCUAUUAGAGUGAUGAUAGCAGUUGCCGCAUUUCAUGAUUAUGAGAUUUGGAAAAUGGAUGUAAGGACCGCUUUCCUUAAUGGGAAGUUGGCUGAGGAUGUUUACAUGGCUCAGCCAGAGGGUUUUGUUGAUCCGAAGCAUUCAAAUAGAGUGUGUAAGCUUAAGAAGUCCAUUUAUGGACUUAAGCAAGCAUCUCCCAGAUGGAAUCUUUGCUUCGAUCAGAAAGUUAAAGAGUUUGGAUUUGUACGAAGUGAAAAUGAAUCAUGUGUCUAUGUCAAAGGCAGUGGGAGUAUAGUAAGCUUCCUCAUUCUGUAUGUUGAUGACAUACUACUCAUAGGAAACAACGUCCCGACACUGCAGGAAGUUAAGUCCUGGCUCAGGAAGUGCUUCGCUAUGAAGGACCUCAGAGAGGCUUCUUAUAUUUUGGGAAUAAGGAUAGUGAGAGAAUGAAGUAAGAGACUAAUAGGACUUAGUCAGAAUACUUACUUAGAUAAAGUACUAAAACAUUUUAGUAUGGAAAACUUGAAGAAGGGAGAAUUACCGAUACAAAGUAAUGCCAAGUUGAGUAAGACUCAAAGUCCGAGUACCGAAGCUGAAAUAGCAGAAAUGAGCCGAGUACCAUACGCUUCCGCAGUUGGCUCAAUCAUGUAUGCUAUGACUUGUACUCGCCCUGAUGUAGCCUUUGCUUUGAGCAUGGUUAGUAGAUAUCAAGGGAACCCUGGCAGAGCCCAUUGGAUUGCGGUGAAGAAUAUCCUUAAGUACCUUCGGAGGACCAAGGAAU